This 538-nucleotide ribosomal RNA is filed under the name Rhodocyclaceae bacterium. Its description in RNAcentral is "bacterial SSU rRNA". It matches the Rfam family "Bacterial small subunit ribosomal RNA", at positions 1 to 532 of the family's 1533-position model. Lineage: Bacteria; Pseudomonadati; Pseudomonadota; Betaproteobacteria; Rhodocyclales; Rhodocyclaceae. The record is from RNAcentral.
GAUUGAACUGAAGAGUUUGAUCCUGGCUCAGAUUGAACGCUGGCGGCAUGCCUUACACAUGCAAGUCGAACGGCAGCGGACCUUCGGGUGCCGGCGAGUGGCGAACGGGUGAGUAAAGUAUCGGAACGUACCUUUCAGUGGGGGAUAACGUAGCGAAAGUUACGCUAAUACCGCAUAUUCUGUGAGCAGGAAAGCAGGGGAUCGCAAGACCUUGCGCUGAUUGAGCGGCCGAUAUCAGAUUAGCUAGUUGGUGAGGUAAAGGCUCACCAAGGCGACGAUCUGUAGCGGGUCUGAGAGGAUGAUCCGCCACACUGGAACUGAGACACGGUCCAGACUCCUACGGGAGGCAGCAGUGGGGAAUUUUGGACAAUGGGGGCAACCCUGAUCCAGCCAUGCCGCGUGAGUGAAGAAGGCCUUCGGGUUGUAAAGCUCUUUCGGCCGGGAAGAAAUCGCGCCAGUUAAUACCUGGUGUGGAUGACGGUACCGGAAUAAGAAGCACCGGCUAACUACGUGCCAGCAGCCGCGGUAAUACGUAGGG